This 173-nucleotide ribosomal RNA is filed under the name Pulicaria diffusa. RNAcentral describes it as "5.8S ribosomal RNA". The stretch from base 19 to 173 matches the Rfam family "5.8S ribosomal RNA". Rfam says of the family: 5.8S ribosomal RNA (5.8S rRNA) is a component of the large subunit of the eukaryotic ribosome. It is transcribed by RNA polymerase I as part of the 45S precursor that also contains 18S and 28S rRNA. RNAcentral also lists the same sequence under 1 other name. The record is from RNAcentral. Lineage: Eukaryota; Viridiplantae; Streptophyta; Magnoliopsida; Asterales; Asteraceae.
UUCUUUUUAACCACAAACGACUCUCGGCAACGGAUAUCUCGGCUCACGCAUCGAUGAAGAACGUAGCAAAAUGCGAUACUUGGUGUGAAUUGCAGAAUCCCGUGAACCAUCGAGUUUUUGAACGCAAGUUGCGCCCAAAGCCACUCGGCUGAGGGCACGUCUGCCUGGGCGUC